This 253-nucleotide ribosomal RNA is filed under the name uncultured bacterium. Its description in RNAcentral is "partial 16S ribosomal RNA". It matches the Rfam family "Bacterial small subunit ribosomal RNA", at positions 524 to 776 of the family's 1533-position model. The record is from RNAcentral.
UACGUAGGGUGCGAGCGUUGUCCGGAAUUAUUGGGCGUAAAGGGCUCGUAGGCGGUUUGUCGCGUCGGGAGUGAAAUCAUCUGGCUUAACUGGGUGCUUGCUUUCGAUACGGGCAGACUAGAGGUAUGCAGGGGAGAACGGAAUUCCUGGUGUAGCGGUGAAAUGCGCAGAUAUCAGGAGGAACACCGGUGGCGAAGGCGGUUCUCUGGGCCGAUACUGACGCUGAGGAGCGAAAGCGUGGGGAGCGAACAGG